RNAcentral lists this ribosomal RNA (1258 nucleotides) under uncultured Cercozoa. RNAcentral's name for it is "SSU rRNA". It matches the Rfam family "Eukaryotic small subunit ribosomal RNA", at positions 25 to 1283 of the family's 1831-position model. The record is from RNAcentral. Lineage: Eukaryota; Cercozoa.
CAUAUGCUUGUCUCAAAGAUUAAGCCAUGCAUGUCUAAGUAUAAACAACUUUAUACUGUAAAACUGCAGAUGGCUCAUUAAAACAGUUAUAAUUUCUUUGAUGGUUACUUUACUACAUGGAUAACCGUAGUAAUUCUGGAGCUAAUACAUGCGUCAAGUCCUAACUCUUGCGGGGAGGGAUGUAUUUAUUAGAUAAAAAACCAAUACGGCUUGCCAUUUAUCUGGUGAUUCAUAAUAACUAGUCGAAGCGCAUGGCCUCGUGCCGGCGCUAGUUCAUUCAAAUUUCUGCCCUAUCAGCUUUCGACGGUAGUGUAGUGGACUACCGUGGCAUUAACGGGUAACGGAGAAUUAGGGUUCGAUUCCGGAGAGGGAGCCUGAGAAAUGGCUACCACAUCCAAGGAAGGCAGCAGGCGCGCAAAUUACCCAAUCGCAAUUCGCGGAGGUAGUGACAAGAAAUAACCAUACCGGGCCUUUUAGGUCUGGUAAUUGGAAUGAGUACAAUGUAAAACUCUUAACGAGUAACAAGUGGAGGGCAAGUCUGGUGCCAGCAGCCGCGGUAAUUCCAGCUCCACUAGCGUAUAUUAAAAUUGCUGCAGUUAAAAAGCUCGUAGUUGGAUUUCUGACACGACGCGCCUGGUCCGCCCCGUCAAGGUGUGUGAGUACCGGUGUGCGUCUGUCAUCCUUCCGCAGAGCGUGCCUACCCUUCACUGGGCCGGGUACGCGAUGUGGAUCGUUUACUUUGAAAAAAUUAGAGUGUUUAAAGCAAGCUACGCUGUGAAUACAUUAGCAUGGAAUAAUAAGAUAGGACUUUGGUUCUAUUUUGUUGGUUUCUAGGACUGAAGUAAUGAUUGAUAGGGAUAGUUGGGGGUGCUAGUAUUCAACGGCCAGAGGUGAAAUUCUUGGAUUCGUUGAAGACUAACUUAUGCGAAAGCAUUCACCAAGGAUGUCUUCUUUAAUCAAGAACGAAAGUUGGGGGAUCGAAGAGGAUCAGAUACCCUCGUAGUCUCAACCAUAAACUAUGCCGACUUGGGAUCAGUGGACGUUGUUUCGACUCCAUUGGCACCAUAUGAGAAAUCAAAGUCUUUGGGUUCCGGGGGGAGUAUGGUCGCAAGGCUGAAGCUUAAAGAAAUUGACGGAAGGGCACCACCAGGCGUGGAGUUUGCGGCUUAAUUUGACUCAACACGGGAAAACUUACCAGGUCCAGACAUAGUAAGGAUUGACAGAUUGAAGUUCUUCUUGAUUCUGUGGGUGGUGGUGC